GAUGAGAUUAACUGGUGGUCUGGUUGAAAGGCUCAUUAUCUUUUUUAUGGAAGUUCGAUUCUUCCUCUCAUCA
This 73-nucleotide transfer RNA is filed under the name Acavomonas peruviana. RNAcentral describes it as "tRNA-Met". It matches the Rfam family "tRNA". From Rfam's summary of the family: Transfer RNA (tRNA) molecules are approximately 80 nucleotides in length. Their secondary structure includes four short double-helical elements and three loops (D, anti-codon, and T loops). Lineage: Eukaryota; Colponemida; Acavomonidia. The record is from RNAcentral.